RNAcentral lists this transfer RNA (111 nucleotides) under Kluyveromyces lactis. It matches the Rfam family "tRNA". Rfam says of the family: Transfer RNA (tRNA) molecules are approximately 80 nucleotides in length. The record is from Rfam by way of RNAcentral. Lineage: Eukaryota; Fungi; Ascomycota; Saccharomycetes; Saccharomycetales; Saccharomycetaceae.
GACACUAUAGUCUAGUGGUUUAGGAUACUCCCCUUCCAUUAAUAGCGUAACUACCAGAAAUGGUAAGUGCCAGGCGAGGGAGUGACACGGGUUCGAAUCCCGUUAGUGUCA